RNAcentral lists this ribosomal RNA (253 nucleotides) under uncultured bacterium. RNAcentral's name for it is "partial 16S ribosomal RNA". It matches the Rfam family "Bacterial small subunit ribosomal RNA", at positions 524 to 776 of the family's 1533-position model. The record is from RNAcentral.
UACGAAGGGGGCUAGCGUUGCUCGGAAUCACUGGGCGUAAAGCGCACGUAGGCGGCUUUCUAAGUCAGGGGUGAAAUCCUGGAGCUCAACUCCAGAACUGCCUUUGAUACUGGGGAGCUCGAGUCCGGAAGAGGUGAGUGGAACUCCGAGUGUAGAGGUGAAAUUCGUAGAUAUUCGGAAGAACACCAGAGGCGAAGGCGGCCUACUGGGCUGCACCUGACGCUGAGCCGCGAAAGCCAGGGGAGCGAACGGG